Molecule: ribosomal RNA, 330 nt
Filed under: uncultured bacterium
Lineage: Bacteria
Description: bacterial SSU rRNA
Rfam family: Bacterial small subunit ribosomal RNA
Source: RNAcentral
UGUGUAGGCGGUUUGGUAAGUCUGGUGUGAAAUCUCCCGGCUCAACUGGGAGGGUGCGCCGGAAACUGCCGGACUCGAGUGCGGGAGAGGAGAGUGGAAUUCCUGGUGUAGCGGUGAAAUGCGUAGAUAUCAGGAGGAACACCGGUGGUGUAGGCGGCUCUCUGGACCGUAACUGACGCUGAAACACGAAAGCGUGGGUAGCAAACAGGAUUAGAUACCCUGGUAGUCCACGCCCUAAACGAUGCAUAUUUGGUGUGGGUCAUUCAGUUGAUCCGUGCCGGAGCUAACGCGUUAAAUAUGCCGCCUGGGGAGUACAGUCGCAAGGCUGAA